GCAACGCCCUCAUCUUGCCGCCCCAUCAGCACGUGGAAAUAGUUUUGAGAGCGCUGGAUUUUGAAGCCGUGUUGUUGCUGUCGACUUCAAGAAACCAUUCGUAGAAUUGCCCAGAUGGAUUUGGAUGAGGAUGUGUGGGUUGGAAGACUCAUCACGACGACCCUUGAUAACAUCGCGAGGGAGUUGAAGGCCAAGAAGGCAGCAGGCGGAAGUCUCCAGACACAGAUGUAUCAACAUCCAAGAAGAUAGGGCGUUUCUCGAGAUUCCGAGCACUGCUCUCCAGGCUGUGCUGUUGCUGAUAGAUCUGUGAAGGCAUGGUCUUUCUCAAGUUCAAUGUCAUUUUUGUCACCCUCAGGAUGAUAUAUAAAGUCUUUACAUGGUUUUUAUUAUUAAUAACUGGGUGGCUCAGUCGUUUAAGGUACCGCAAUUCGCUGAGCAAAGUUGCGUCCCUUGGGCGCACCGGAAAGCUAUAAUUGUGGGUUCGAAUCCCGAUUAUGUUUCUAGGUUUGUUAGCACCAUACCCAUGCUCUUGGGUUUCACCAAAGAGGAGACUUGUAUUACUUCGGGCGUUCCUCCCACACAAAGCUGACACGUCGUGAUAUACGUGGAAAACUGUUCAAAGCCCCGUUAAACCAAACUCACUCCGUUUCUACGAUGAUCUGUUUCGUUUGUCAGAUUUUACAGAUAUAAGGGCACAUGGUGCCCAGUUUCUUUUAAUAGUUCUCAGAUUUUUGUUUUUGUACAUGAAGAAAAUAUGAUAGAGAAAAAAGGGUGAAUGAUAUCAGGGAUCAAUGUAUGAAAUGUGAGCACCUGUUGUGUUAUGUACACUCAGUGCGUUGUGCUUUUAUUUGAACGAAUAACUGAUAUCUUUAAAGGUUUCAAUACACAUGUCUUCUUAUAUAAAUAUACCAAAAUCUAUUACACUAUAAACAUUUGUUGUUUGUUGGAUUUUAAAAAUACAAUAAAAAUGGUAUAUAGUUUAGUCGGGGAACCCUUUAGAAGUAUUUUAUAUGAAGGAUAUAGUACGUCCGUUUUAAUGUUUUAUUUGGUGAUACUUAAUUCCCAACUGAAUCCAAUAGCUUUAUUCAGAAGUUGAGGGUUUUAAAUCUCAUAAAACCUGCUUAUCUUGUGUGCAUGUAGUAUUGUAACCUGCUUGUUUAGAUGUGGUAUUGUCAUAUAACCUGCUUGUUUAGUAGUACUAUGCUGUCAUUAACGUUUGUGAUUUAUACUCCCAUAUGCAAUCAGCCAUGAAGCAGUUUAGGCUGCAAUAAACCUAGAGAGAGAGUCUCCUAGGACCAACAAGGGGCAUUUGAAGCAAGUUCUGCCUCGGGAUUCAGUCUGUAGGACACAA
This is a long non-coding RNA of Haliotis rufescens (red abalone), 1351 nucleotides long. RefSeq lists it as uncharacterized. NCBI's taxonomy places the organism in Eukaryota, Metazoa, Mollusca, Gastropoda, Lepetellida, Haliotidae. The record is from RefSeq and is a predicted model, not a curated record. The transcript has 3 exons.